Molecule: long non-coding RNA, 2378 nt
Filed under: Triticum aestivum (bread wheat)
Lineage: Eukaryota; Viridiplantae; Streptophyta; Magnoliopsida; Poales; Poaceae
Description: long non-coding RNA (TAES_LNC020176)
Source: RNAcentral
GAGAUGCAUGUGUUCGCAGCCCCGUCUGGGUCAUCCUCACUACCAUCCUCGCCUUAGAGUUCAGCAUCGGUCAGUCUCUUUCUUUUCUUUCUGAGCACUAAUGAUCGAUGAAGGUGUUUGUGGCUGCUCAAAUUAAUGUCUGAAUGUGCCAAAUCUGCUGCUAUCUAUAGGAACUAAAACCUGCUGCUCUGAAGGUGCCAGCGUCGCUGAGGGAAUUUAUCAAUGGUUGGUUCAGUACAGUAUCUGCUGCUAUGUUAUUUGCAGCCAGAGAAGAUAUAUGUUCAUGCCAUUUUCUUAACUGUGUCACCCGUUUUCAGCUAGUGUACAAACAAACAAAUUAUUGGCAUGCAUGAGUAGUGCACGGACGCAUGUUAGUGUAUCUUACCAUAGAUGGACAAAGUCAUUUUGCAUAAUUAUGCCUGAACAUGCAUGGUAAGAACAAAAUCCUCACUGAUUAUAGAGAGAGCAAGUAGAUACUCUCAUCACUGAGAAAAAGCUUGUUUAGUUGAGAGUGUUCCAUGUGAACCCUCAGUCAGUGUAGCAACACAAACAUGCAUAAUAAAUUUCUCUACACCAGCUGAGCUAGUGUCUUACUGACUUCCAAGUCAUAAACAAUGUCAAUAAUGUUGAUAAGUGCCAGCUGCAAAUAAUCUGCAAACACCACGGCAGGCUUUCCCUUGUAGCAAUGUCCUUUUAUAUCCAUAUAAUCCUUACCUAAUCAAAUUGUCAUAUCCCUGUAUGCUAGAGGACGAGUUUAGUCAGGCCAGCAACAAUGCGGAGCUACAUAACUAAAUAACCUGAUCUGAACUGUGAGCACAUGAUGAUUAUGUGGGUGCAAAUAAAUGGAAGUCGAAAUGCUUUUGGCUAUGACUUACUAUUCCUUAGCCUAUAUGCAUGUCUUAGUUAAACUUGAAAAUCAUUGUUUUCUCCUAUGAUGUUAUGUGAUUCAGUAUUAAAUUAGUAGACUCGAAUAUUUCUUGUUUUGAUCAGUCUUGUGGAAAAUAUGACCUUCAUUGAAUACUCUACUCUUUAUAUGUCGCUCAAGGGUUCCCCGUCGUACCUUUUGGUCUUGUUUUUGUUCAAUCUGCUUUUAUAUGUUAGUCUAGUUAUUAGAUUGAUUUUAGAAUGUUCAUCCAACUUUUGUUGAUCUAAGAAACAUCUUGCAUGCUAUAGAAGUCGUAUUAGCUAAACUUGGCUUGUAGUUGUCUCUAUGAAAGUGGUUGUAUUUUGAUUUUUAUCUAUUGGUUUGCUGCAGUGGAAUGCUCAUCACCUCAUAGGGAAGAUCUGAACCAAGUGAAUGCAAGGAUUUUUUGGCAAUGUCUAGCUCAAUCUCACCUUCGAGAAAAUGUAAUAUUUUUCCUCCGGAGUUAGUCUACACUAUCCAGGUUGUAUGCUACUACUGAGAUCCCAUCAAGGUAACACUCUUCCCCCACAUCUUAAUCUGCAACAAAAGUAUAAACAAGAUUCAAGUGAGCGGUCUUCAUGGGGUUGCUUGUUCGUAUGAUUUGUUCAUGUGCUUCAUUUUGUAAUCCCAGUCAAGUAAAGGCUAAAGAAACAUGCUACCCUCAAACUGAAGUUUUGCAACCAUGUUAAUAUUUAAUGCAAAUUGCCAAGACUCUUCUGGGAGGAUUAUGUUUAUCUUUGUAACUAGUUGUUAGCAUUUUCCUGUUCAACAAUAAAGGUCGACAUCACUACAGGAAAUGGUUCUGAUUGUUACUCCUUCGAUUCAAACUCAUGAAUUAAGUUAAAGUCUACAUAUGAGGUUGUGUUUCAGCCAUGCAUACUUUGUGUGCAUGUGUUGUUUGUGUUGAGUUUGGUUUGGUGGUAUAUGAGCUGUGUUGUGUUGUGGUGCUCAUGUCGGUGCUGUUUAUUUUACUGUGUUAAAGAUAUAUGAUUCACAUCUCUUCAUGUUGGAAGUUAUUAAUGUGAGUUUUUUUGCACAAAGUGUUGAGCUAACACAAGAAUAAUCUUGCAAUUCCUGAAAUUUCUAUGGGAACAUGUCUUAGUCUUGUGUUAAUUGCUGAAUGUAAAACCUCCAUUUAUCUUUUGUUUGCUCAUAUUUUGUGUGCUUUCUUAUGUUUGAUUGUUCCAAUUACCAGGAUGAUCUGAAGCACUCCAAAGAAGCGAAGGGCAGAAGAAGCUUCAUUUCUCAUUGAUGUUAUGUGUGAUCAACUAAAAUUUGCCCAUCUGGUCCGAUCUUUGUAGAACUAUGUUGUUGUGCGCCUGUGCACUUGUUGAGUCUUUUUGUUGUGCACUUGCACUUGUAGCAUUAUUUUGUUGUGCACUUGUUGGACCUUGGACCUUGCUGUGUAGUGGAGUUAAUGGAUGAUGUAUUGUAUUUCAUGUGAUGUGUUACUGAAAUGAAAUAUACAAUUUAU